GACGAACGCUGGCGGCGUGCUUAACACAUGCAAGUCGAACGGAAAGGCCCUGCUUUUGUGGGGUGCUCGAGUGGCGAACGGGUGAGUAACACGUGAGUAACCUGCCCUUGACUUUGGGAUAACUUCAGGAAACUGGGGCUAAUACCGGAUAGGAGCUCCUGCUGCAUGGUGGGGGUUGGAAAGUUUCGGCGGUUGGGGAUGGACUCGCGGCUUAUCAGCUUGUUGGUGGGGUAGUGGCUUACCAAGGCUUUGACGGGUAGCCGGCCUGAGAGGGUGACCGGAAAGAGGGGGAAAGAGAGACGGCAAAGAGUCCAAGGGGGGGAAGCGGGGGGGAAGAGUGCAAAAGGGGCGGAGGCUGGAGAAAGAAACGCGGGGGGGGGGAGGAGGGCUUGGGGGGUGUAAAGCGAUUCAGCUGGGAAAGAAGCGGGAGGGAGGGAAAGGGGUAAAAAAACACGGGCAGACUACGG
RNAcentral lists this ribosomal RNA (467 nucleotides) under uncultured bacterium. RNAcentral describes it as "partial 16S ribosomal RNA". The stretch from base 20 to 332 matches the Rfam family "Bacterial small subunit ribosomal RNA", at positions 47 to 358 of the family's 1533-position model. The record is from RNAcentral.